RNAcentral lists this ribosomal RNA (450 nucleotides) under uncultured bacterium. RNAcentral's name for it is "partial 16S ribosomal RNA". It matches the Rfam family "Bacterial small subunit ribosomal RNA", at positions 354 to 796 of the family's 1533-position model. The record is from RNAcentral.
GUGGGGAAUAUUGGACAAUGGGCGAAAGCCUGAUCCAGCCAUGCCGCGUGUGUGAAGAAGGUCUUCGGAUUGUAAAGCACUUUAAGUUGGGAGGAAGGGCAGUAAGUUAAUACCUUGCUGUUUUGACGUUACCGACAGAAUAAGCACCGGCUAACUUCGUGCCAGCAGCCGCGGUAAUACGAAGGGUGCAAGCGUUAAUCGGAAUUACUGGGCGUAAAGCGCGCGUAGGUGGUUUUGUAAGUUGGAGGUGAAAUCCCCGGGCUCAACCUGGGAACUGCCUCCAAAACUGCAUGACUAGAGUACGGUAGAGGGUAGUGGAAUUUCCUGUGUAGCGGUGAAAUGCGUAGAUAUAGGAAGGAACACAAGUGGCGAAGGCGACUACCUGGACUGAUACUGACACUGAGGUGCGAAAGCGUGGGGAGCAAACAGGAUUAGAAACCCGGGUAGUCC